RNAcentral lists this long non-coding RNA (1235 nucleotides) under Sus scrofa (pig). RNAcentral describes it as "lncRNA (ENSSSCG00035065994.1)". The record is from RNAcentral. Lineage: Eukaryota; Metazoa; Chordata; Mammalia; Artiodactyla; Suidae.
UAGCUCUCAGAACACUCUUCCUUCUGUCUCGGUCUAUAGCCUUUCUUUCCACCCACCCUGGUGUUUUCAGCCACUCCCAUUUGAGUACAUUUAAAUAUCCACCCGUAACAAAGCUUAAAACCUCAGUAAGGGGUCCGGGCUCCCCUGGAGACUGGGAGCCGGGGAGAGAGGAGGGCACCAAGCUAAGGAAGGCAAGAAUUCCUCCACAAGGGGCCCUGAACUUCCAGGGACUUAACAGGUAGACACUUGUGACAGAGCCCAAAACCAUGCCCUGACCAUUUCCAAUGUUAAACAAUGGGGAGUUCCCGUUGUGGCUCAGUGGUAAUGAAACUGACUAGUAUCCGGGAGGAUGCGGGUUCAAUCCCUGGCCUUGCUCAGUGGGUUAGGGAUCUGGGGUUGCCAUGAGCUGUGGUAUAGCUAUGAUGUAGAUGCAGCAGAUUGCUAUGGCUCCUACACCAGAGCCACAGCAACGUGGGAUCCAAGCCACAUCCUCAACCUACACCACAGCUCACUGCAACGCCAGAUCAUUAACCCACUGAGCAAGGGCAGGGAUCAAACCCGAAACCUCAUGGUUCCUAGUCGGAUUCGUUAACCACUGCGCCAUGACAGGAACUCCGACAGGGGAGGUUUUAACACAAAGACAUGAAAAAACAGUCCUUGUUCCCAAGAAGGUGAGUGACCCAGACACAUGGACCACUCAUGGUGAUAAGUGUGAAGAAGUCGAUGGUCCUGAAAGACCCAGGAACAGUGGGCGGGCACGAGAAGCCCUGGGACCCAGCUAGGCUGGUCCAAGAAGAAUUCGCAAGGACUUAAUGCUGGAACUGAGUCUUAAAGGUGGAGUCGGGAGGAGGAGGCCCUGGAUGGCAUGUUCCUGGCAGAAGAAGCCCAGCCCGAGAGCAGAGACACCAAGAAAGCUGGUGGUAAUUGGGAAACUAGGGGAUAAAGUGAACCCUGAGUGUGUGGCCCUGGGGACAGGUGAGACGUGUGGCCAGAAGCCAGAGCCAGCGCAGGAUGGACUUUGAGGCCAGCAAGGAGGCCAAGGCUCCGGGAGAUUACAGAAGGACUGUGGACGGCAGAGACAUACGGUCAGAUUUACCAUUUCAGCAGGAAAGCCCUGGCUGAAACGUGCAGAACGGUUUGGAAGGAACACAACCAGAGGGACACGCAGCACAUUUGGGAAGCUGUUAUGAUAAAAUCACCUGGAAACGAUGAUCCUUGGAAGUCUCUCUCUCCAC